This is a long non-coding RNA of Seriola aureovittata, 1289 nucleotides long. RefSeq lists it as uncharacterized. The transcript is spliced from 3 exons. Lineage: Eukaryota; Metazoa; Chordata; Actinopteri; Carangiformes; Carangidae. The record is from RefSeq and is a predicted model, not a curated record.
UGUGCUUGUCAAAGACAGGACUACCACUGUGUGUCGACCUAUGAUUGGGGAUAUCACCACAGUCAACUAACUUAAUGUUAUUUUAUUGAACCCUCCUCACUUAACACUAGUCGAUAUUCGUAGCUGUGCCGUUUCCAUGGUUACCACGUGUAGCGCACCCACUGUUUACUCGCCCAGUGCUUUCCUGAUCACAAGGGGAGCGCAGUGAGAGCCGCAGAUCAGACUCGACACCAGACGUGACAGUACUUCGCUCUGUUGUCCUCAAAGGCAUUCCCAUUUUACUUUGUGACGACUCCAGUGAAUUCUUCAAGACAUGCUCUGAUACAGCGAGAGACGAGGCCCUAGAAUGCAUCACUGUUGGUGUGCUGACAGUUGUCAGUGAAGAUCGUCCUCACGAGGGUCCGAGUUCAGUGGACCUCCAGCCCAUCUCCACUGCCAUCAUUCUGGAGGGAGGUAUUGUCAUGGAUCGAAUUAAAAACUUGCCUCAGGCAGUUUGUCUGUUAUUUGGGCUUACAUAUGCUUUGCAUUGGGAUUACCCAAAAUGCAUGGCAAAUACACUCAACUUCAUUCAGACUGUGAUGCUUGGACUGGGAAAGAAAAACCUCCCAUCAAAACUGUUAACUCUGAAGAACAGUCUACUGGGUUAGACCAGUAAAGAGCCUUCUUGGACUGAUGCUCGCUUUGGGACACAAAAGCAUUUGUUGUACUUUCAGUUUUGAUCAGAAAUGCAAAGUCCUGUAAUUAUCAGGUGUUUACCUGUUUAAUAUUGUGAGACUGUUACAUGCAUAGAAUUAGCUCACAAAAAUGUUGGUUUAUUUUUGCCUUGUCCGUGUCAUGUUCUACAGUCAAAUCAAACCACAAGUUUGUUGUUAAGCUGCUGUUUUGUACUUGAAUGUACAAGAAAGUGAUACUUGGGAACAGAACACUUGAAGCUGAAUAAUAGAUUUAAUGCAUAUUGUUAUUACAAUAGCCUAACAGACAGAUCACCCUAUGAGCAAUUUUACAAUUAGCUUUAAAAUACAUUAAAUGUGACAAGAGGAUGGAGAACAGUAAUUUUUAUUGAUUAUUGUAAGGUUAUUACAUGAGUAAUAAAACACACAUUUUAUAUUGGAGAAAUGGAAUCAAAAAUAAUAACAAUAUCAAAUGUUAAUUGUUCAGCCUAGAUCUGUCAAUGAUGCAAUUAUUAUUUUUUAAUAAAUGUUGUAAUGCAGCUGAAUCAACCCAGUGAGUUUUCUUUUAAAGUAUAUUUUUGUGGUGUUUUUGCCUUUAUUAGGUAAUAACAGCUAAAA